AAAAGACGGAAAGAGCUUGCUCUUUUCAGAAUUGAGUGGCAAACGGGUGAGUAACACGUAAACAACCUGCCUUCAGGGAUGGGGACAACAGACGGAAACGACUGCUAAUACCGAAUAAGUUCCAAGAGCCGCAUGGCCCAUGGAAGAAAAAGGUGGCCUCUACCUGUAAGCUAUCGCCUGAAGAGGGGUUUGCGUCUAAUUAGCUGGUUGGAGGGGUAACGGCCCACCUAGUCUUCGAUGGAUAGGGGUUCUGAGAGGAAGGUCCCCACAUUGGUACUGAGACACGGACCAAACUCC
RNAcentral lists this ribosomal RNA (297 nucleotides) under uncultured Dialister sp. Its description in RNAcentral is "partial 16S ribosomal RNA". It matches the Rfam family "Bacterial small subunit ribosomal RNA", at positions 64 to 339 of the family's 1533-position model. Lineage: Bacteria; Bacillati; Bacillota; Negativicutes; Veillonellales; Veillonellaceae. The record is from RNAcentral.